This 77-nucleotide transfer RNA is filed under the name Puniceicoccales bacterium. RNAcentral describes it as "tRNA-Asp". It matches the Rfam family "tRNA". Rfam says of the family: Transfer RNA (tRNA) molecules are approximately 80 nucleotides in length. Their secondary structure includes four short double-helical elements and three loops (D, anti-codon, and T loops). Further hydrogen bonds mediate the characteristic L-shaped molecular structure. tRNAs have two regions of fundamental functional importance: the anti-codon, which is responsible for specific mRNA codon recognition, and the 3' end, to which the tRNAs corresponding amino acid is attached (by aminoacyl-tRNA synthetases). tRNAs cope with the degeneracy of the genetic code in two manners: having more than one tRNA (with a specific anti-codon) for a particular amino acid; and 'wobble' base-pairing, i.e. permitting non-standard base-pairing at the 3rd anti-codon position. Lineage: Bacteria; Pseudomonadati; Verrucomicrobiota; Opitutia; Puniceicoccales. The record is from RNAcentral.
GGGGUAGUAGCUCAAUUGGUCAGAGCGCCUGCCUGUCACGCAGGAGGUCGCGGGUUCGAGUCCCGUCUAUCCCGCCA